Molecule: non-coding RNA, 273 nt
Organism: Pelobates cultripes (western spadefoot toad)
Lineage: Eukaryota; Metazoa; Chordata; Amphibia; Anura; Pelobatidae
Source: the annotation of a GenBank genome assembly
GGGUGACUAGUGACAGAGUGAGGGAAUGGGUGACUAGUGGCAGAGUGAGGGAGGGAAGAGAUGACUAGUGGCAAAGUGAGGGAGGGAUGGGGUGACUAGUGACAGAGUGAGGGGGGUGACUGUCACUAGUCACCCCAUCCCUCUCUCUGUCACUAGUCACUCCCUCCCUAACUCUGUCACUGUGUCACCCGCUCCCUCACUCUGUCACUGUGUCACCCGCUCCCUCUCUCUGUCACUAGUCACCCCAUCCCUCUCUCUGUCACUAGUCACCCC